CCUUGUACACACCGCCCGUCACACCAUGGGAGUGGGUUCUGCCAGAAGUAGUUAGCCUAACCGCAAGGAGGGCGAUUACCACGGCAGGGUUCGUGACUGGGGUG
Molecule: ribosomal RNA, 104 nt
Filed under: uncultured bacterium
Lineage: Bacteria
Description: partial 16S ribosomal RNA
Rfam family: Bacterial small subunit ribosomal RNA
Source: RNAcentral